RNAcentral lists this ribosomal RNA (1435 nucleotides) under uncultured organism. RNAcentral's name for it is "SSU rRNA". It matches the Rfam family "Bacterial small subunit ribosomal RNA". The record is from RNAcentral.
GUGGCGUGCUUAACACAUGCAAGUCGAACGGAAAGGCCCUGCUUUUGUGGGGUGCUCGAGUGGCGAACGGGUGAGUAACACGUGAGUAACCUGCCCUUGACUUUGGGAUAACUUCAGGAAACUGGGGCUAAUACCGGAUAGGAGCUCCUGCUGCAUGGUGGGGGUUGGAAAGUUUCGGCGGUUGGGGAUGGACUCGCGGCUUAUCAGCUUGUUGGUGGGGUAGUGGCUUACCAAGGCUUUGACGGGUAGCCGGCCUGAGAGGGUAACCGGCCACAUUGGGACUGAGAUACGGCCCAGACUCCUACGGGAGGCAGCAGUGGGGAAUAUUGCACAAUGGGCGGAAGCCUGAUGCAGCAACGCCGCGUGCGGGAUGACGGCCUUCGGGUUGUAAACCGCUUUCGCCUGUGACGAAGCGUGAGUGACGGUAAUGGGUAAAGAAGCACCGGCUAACUACGUGCCAGCAGCCGCGGUGAUACGUAGGGUGCGAGCGUUGUCCGGAUUUAUUGGGCGUAAAGGGCUCGUAGGUGGUUGAUCGCGUCGGAAGUGUAAUCUUGGGGCUUAACCCUGAGCGUGCUUUCGAUACGGGUUGACUUGAGGAAGGUAGGGGAGAAUGGAAUUCCUGGUGGAGCGGUGGAAUGCGCAGAUAUCAGGAGGAACACCAGUGGCGAAGGCGGUUCUCUGGGCCUUUCCUGACGCUGAGGAGCGAAAGCGUGGGGAGCGAACAGGCUUAGAUACCCUGGUAGUCCACGCUGUAAACGGUGGGUACUAGGUGUGGGGUCCAUUCCACGGGUUCCGUGCCGUAGCUAACGCUUUAAGUACCCCGCCUGGGGAGUACGGCCGCAAGGCUAAAACUCAAAGGAAUUGACGGGGCCCCGCACAAGCGGCGGAGCAUGCGGAUUAAUUCGAUGCAACGCGUAGAACCUUACCUGGGUUUGACAUGGAUCGGGAGUGCUCAGAGAUGGGUGUGCCUCUUUUGGGGUCGGUUCACAGGUGGUGCAUGGCUGUCGUCAGCUCGUGUCGUGAGAUGUUGGGUUAAGUCCCGCAACGAGCGCAACCCUUGUUCACUGUUGCCAGCACGUUAUGGUGGGGACUCAGUGGAGACCGCCGGGGUCAACUCGGAGGAAGGUGGGGAUGACGUCAAGUCAUCAUGCCCCUUAUGUCCAGGGCUUCACGCAUGCUACAAUGGCUGGUACAGAGAGUGGCGAGCCUGUGAGGGUGAGCGAAUCUCGGAAAGCCGGUCUCAGUUCGGAUUGGGGUCUGCAACUCGACCUCAUGAAGUCGGAGUCGCUAGUAAUCGCAGAUCAGCAACGCUGCGGUGAAUACGUUCCCGGGGCUUGUACACACCGCCCGUCAAGUCAUGAAAGUUGGUAACACCCGAAGCCGGUGGCCUAACCGUUGUGGGGGAGCCGUCGAAGGUGGGACUGGUGAUUAGGAC